CGAAGGUGGCAAGCGUUACUCGGAAUUACUAGGCGUAAAGGGCAGGUAGGUGGUUUGGUUAGUCUGUUGUGAAAGCUCCUUGCUUAACGGGGAGAGGUCAACAGAUACUGCCAGACUUGAGUAUAGGAGAGGGUACUGGAAUUCCCGGUGUAGCGGUGAAAUGCGCAGAGAUCGGGAGGAACACCAAUGGCGAAAGCAGGUACCUGGACUAUUACUGACACUCAGCUGCGAAAGCUAGGGGAGCAAACAGGAUUAGAUACCCUGGUAGUCCUAGCCGUAAACGAUGCACAUUAGGCGUGAGGGGUAUCGACCCCUUCGUGCCGAAGCAAACGCAUUAAAUGUGCCGCCUGGGGAGUACGGCCGCAAGGUUG
RNAcentral lists this ribosomal RNA (371 nucleotides) under uncultured organism. RNAcentral describes it as "bacterial SSU rRNA". It matches the Rfam family "Bacterial small subunit ribosomal RNA", at positions 526 to 896 of the family's 1533-position model. The record is from RNAcentral.